This 794-nucleotide ribosomal RNA is filed under the name Bursaphelenchus xylophilus (pine wood nematode). RNAcentral describes it as "partial large subunit ribosomal RNA". It matches the Rfam family "Eukaryotic large subunit ribosomal RNA", at positions 318 to 973 of the family's 3401-position model. Lineage: Eukaryota; Metazoa; Nematoda; Chromadorea; Rhabditida; Aphelenchoididae. The record is from RNAcentral.
CCUUUUAAAAUUUCCCCCGGGGGAAGUUGAAAAGUACUUUGAAAAGAGAGUGCAAGAGAACGUGAAACCGGUGUAAUGGAAGCGAAUGGAGCCGACGUAUCUAGUGCGUAUUCAGCCUUCUGGGCGCGUGAUUGGUGUUUGUGCAUUGCCGCAAGGUGUGCCUGGCGCUAUUGUCGCGUGUUCGGUUGGUGCAUUUGCGUACGGAGUGCGCCGGGUUGUGUGGUGUUGUCGGACGAUGCGCGUUUAGAGGACCCGGGCUUCGGCGCUGGGAACCCUGGGCGUGCGGAGUUCGGUUGGCGCUGCGCAGCUUUGUGGAGACGUGGGUUUUUCGCGUGCCGCGGUGUCGACAGGCUCGGUUCGGGUGGUACACAUGUGUGCAGCCCUUAUGGGGUCGGUCGGUGUUGUGGUGUGCUCUGCGUUCUUCCCGGUGUUCAGUCGGUGACCCAUUCGACCCGUCUUGAAACACGGACCAAGGAGUUUAUGGUAUGCGCAAGUCAUUGGGUUUGUCGAAGCCUAAAGGCGUAAUGAAAGUGAGACAUUACUUGUCUGAACGUGACUGGGUGCGGCAUUCGUGCGGCCCAAGCAACGUUGCCCCGUUUCGAGGACUUGUCCUGAUGCGGAGGUUGAGCGUAUGCUAUGAGACCCGAAAGAUGGUGAACUAUGCCUGAACAGGACGAAGCCAGAGGAAACUCUGGUGGAAGUCCGAAGCGGUUCUGACGUGCAAAUCGAUCGUCUGAUUUUGGUAUAGGGGCGCAAGACUAAUCGAACCAUCUAUAGUGGGUUCCUCUUUCCCA